This 356-nucleotide ribosomal RNA is filed under the name Oxyrrhis marina. RNAcentral's name for it is "partial Bacterial small subunit ribosomal RNA". It matches the Rfam family "Bacterial small subunit ribosomal RNA", at positions 468 to 823 of the family's 1533-position model. Lineage: Eukaryota; Dinophyceae; Oxyrrhinales; Oxyrrhinaceae. The record is from RNAcentral.
AAUGACGGUACCGGAAGAAUAAGCCCCGGCUAACUUCGUGCCAGCAGCCGCGGUAAUACGAAGGGUGCAAGCGUUAUUCGGAUUUACUGGGCGUAAAGCGCGCGCAGGCGGAUUAGUAAGUCAGAUGUGAAAUCUCGGGGCUCAACCCCGAAACUGCGUCUGAAACUACUAAUCUAGAGUUAUGGAGGGGGAAGUGGAAUUUCGCAUGUAGGGGUAAAAUCCGUAGAGAUGCGAAGGAACACCAGAGGCGAAGGCGACUUCCUGGCCAUUAACUGACGCUGAGGCGCGAAAGCGUGGGGAGCGAACAGGAUUAGAUACCCUGGUAGUCCACGCCGUAAACGAUGAGUGCUAAGUGU